RNAcentral lists this ribosomal RNA (554 nucleotides) under Staphylococcus aureus. RNAcentral's name for it is "bacterial SSU rRNA". It matches the Rfam family "Bacterial small subunit ribosomal RNA", at positions 202 to 748 of the family's 1533-position model. Lineage: Bacteria; Bacillati; Bacillota; Bacilli; Caryophanales; Staphylococcaceae. The record is from RNAcentral.
GACGGUCUUGCUGUCACUUAUAGAUGGAUCCGCGCUGCAUUAGCUAGUUGGUAAGGUAACGGCUUACCAAGGCAACGAUGCAUAGCCGACCUGAGAGGGUGAUCGGCCACACUGGAACUGAGACACGGUCCAGACUCCUACGGGAGGCAGCAGUAGGGAAUCUUCCGCAAUGGGCGAAAGCCUGACGGAGCAACGCCGCGUGAGUGAUGAAGGUCUUCGGAUCGUAAAACUCUGUUAUUAGGGAAGAACAUAUGUGUAAGUAACUGUGCACAUCUUGACGGUACCUAAUCAGAAAGCCACGGCUAACUACGUGCCAGCAGCCGCGGUAAUACGUAGGUGGCAAGCGUUAUCCGGAAUUAUUGGGCGUAAAGCGCGCGUAGGCGGUUUUUUAAGUCUGAUGUGAAAGCCCACGGCUCAACCGUGGAGGGUCAUUGGAAACUGGAAAACUUGAGUGCAGAAGAGGAAAGUGGAAUUCCAUGUGUAGCGGUGAAAUGCGCAGAGAUAUGGAGGAACACCAGUGGCGAAGGCGACUUUCUGGUCUGUAACUGACGCUG